This 419-nucleotide ribosomal RNA is filed under the name uncultured Prevotella sp. RNAcentral's name for it is "bacterial SSU rRNA". It matches the Rfam family "Bacterial small subunit ribosomal RNA", at positions 358 to 774 of the family's 1533-position model. Lineage: Bacteria; Pseudomonadati; Bacteroidota; Bacteroidia; Bacteroidales; Prevotellaceae. The record is from RNAcentral.
GGAAUAUUGGUCAAUGGACGAGAGUCUGAACCAGCCAAGUAGCGUGCAGGAUGACGGCCCUAUGGGUUGUAAACUGCUUUUAUACGGGGAUAAAGUGACCCACGUGUGGGUUUUUGUAGGUACCGUAUGAAUAAGGACCGGCUAAUUCCGUGCCAGCAGCCGCGGUAAUACGGAAGGUCCGGGCGUUAUCCGGAUUUAUUGGGUUUAAAGGGAGCGCAGGCGGAAGGUUAAGCGUGACGUGAAAUGUACCGGCUCAACCGGUGAUGUGCGUCGCGAACUGGCUUUCUUGAGUGCGUACGAGGAAGGCGGAAUUCGUGGUGUAGCGGUGAAAUGCUUAGAUAUCACGAAGAACUCCGAUUGCGCAGGCAGCCUUCCAGUCCGUUACUGACGCUACAGCUCGAAGGUGCGGGUAUCGAACA